GAUGAACGCUGGCGGCGUGCCUAAUACAUGCAAGUCGAGCGAACGGACGAGAAGCUUGCUUCUCUGAUGUUAGCGGCGGACGGGUGAGUAACACGUGGAUAACCUACCUAUAAGACUGGGAUAACUUCGGGAAACCGGAGCUAAUACCGGAUAAUAUUUUGAACCGCAUGGUUCAAAAGUGAAGGACGGUCUUGCUGUCACUUAUAGAUGGAUCCGCGCUGCAUUAGCUAGUUGGUAAGGUAGCGGCUUACCAAGGCAACGAUGCAUAGCCGACCUGAGAGGGUGAUCGGCCACACUGGAACUGAGACACGGUCCAGACGCCUACGGGAGGCAGCAGUAGGGAAUCUUCCGCAAUGGGCGAAAGCCUGACGGAGCAACGCCGCGUGAGUGAUGAAGGUCUUCGGAUCGUAAAACUCUGUUAUUAGGGAAGAACAUAUGUGUAAGUAACUGUGCACAUCUUGACGGUACCUAAUCAGAAAGCCACGGCUAACUACGUG
This 497-nucleotide ribosomal RNA is filed under the name uncultured bacterium. Its description in RNAcentral is "partial 16S ribosomal RNA". It matches the Rfam family "Bacterial small subunit ribosomal RNA", at positions 28 to 507 of the family's 1533-position model. The record is from RNAcentral.